RNAcentral lists this ribosomal RNA (497 nucleotides) under uncultured bacterium. RNAcentral's name for it is "partial 16S ribosomal RNA". It matches the Rfam family "Bacterial small subunit ribosomal RNA", at positions 28 to 507 of the family's 1533-position model. The record is from RNAcentral.
GAUGAACGCUGGCGGCGUGCCUAAUACAUGCAAGUCGAGCGAACAGACGAGGAGCUUUCUCCUCUGACGUUAGCGACGGACGGGUGAGUAACACGUGGAUAACCUACCUAUAAGACUGGGAUAACUUCGGGAAACCGGAUCUAAUACCGGAUAAUAUAUUGAACCGCAUGGUUCAAUAGUGAAAGACGGUUUUGCUGUCACUUAUAGAUGGAUCCGCGCCGCAUUAGCUAGUUGGUAAGGUAACGGCUUACCAAGGCAACGAUGCGUAGCCGACCUGAGAGGGUGAUCGGCCACACUGGAACUGAGACACGGUCCAGACUCCUACGGGAGGCAGCAGUAGGGAAUCUUCCGCAAAGGGCGAAAGCUUGACGGAGCAAUGCCGCGUGAGUGAUGAAGGUCUUCGGAUCGUAAAGCUCUGUUAUUUGGGAAGAACAAAAGUAUAAUGAAACAUGGCCGUCUUGACGGUACCUACUCAGAAAGCAACGGCUAACUACGUG